Molecule: microRNA precursor, 93 nt
Filed under: Pelobates cultripes (western spadefoot toad)
Lineage: Eukaryota; Metazoa; Chordata; Amphibia; Anura; Pelobatidae
Source: RNAcentral
CGCUGACUUUUCACCUUGCUUCCUUGAGCUUCUUCCAUAAAUUAGAGAUAUUUUUUGCUAGAAGCUCAAAGAAGCAAGGUAAAAGGUCAGUGU